Molecule: non-coding RNA, 78 nt
Organism: Branchiostoma floridae (Florida lancelet)
Lineage: Eukaryota; Metazoa; Chordata; Leptocardii; Amphioxiformes; Branchiostomatidae
Source: Rfam
UUUCCGUUACGAUGUUGACUUCCGCUCCUCUGUGGUGAUAUCUGGACUAGAGGGACCUGUAGUCAACACGAGAUGGAA